GGGAGGGCAGCGGCCACCGGCGAGGAACACGGCGCGAUGCAGGUUCAGUGCCAGCAGAGCCCAGUGCUGGCAGGCAGCGCCACUUUGGUCGCCCUUGGGGCACUGGCCUUGUACGUCGCGAAGCCCUCCGGCUACGGGAAGCACACGGAGAGCCUGAAGCCGGCGGCUACCCGCCUGCCAGCCCGCGCCGCCUGGUUCCUGCAGGAGCUGCCUUCCUUCGCGGUGCCCGCGGGGAUCCUCGCCCGGCAGCCCCUCUCCCUCUUCGGGCCACCUGGGACGGUACUUCUGGGCCUCUUCUGCCUACAUUACUUCCACAGGACAUUUGUGUACUCACUGCUCAAUCGAGGGAGGCCUUAUCCAGCUAUACUCAUUCUCAGAGGCACUGCCUUCUGCACUGGAAAUGGAGUCCUUCAAGGCUACUAUCUGAUUUACUGUGCUGAAUACCCUGAUGGGUGGUACACAGACAUACGGUUUAGCUUGGGUGUCUUCUUAUUUAUUUUGGGAAUGGGAAUAAACAUUCAUAGUGACUAUAUAUUGCGCCAGCUCAGGAAGCCUGGAGAAAUCAGCUACAGGAUUCCACAAGAAGCUCCAGAGAGCUACCAGAGCCCUCAGGAA
This 615-nucleotide long non-coding RNA is filed under the name Homo sapiens (human). RNAcentral's name for it is "HSALNT0301529". The record is from RNAcentral. Lineage: Eukaryota; Metazoa; Chordata; Mammalia; Primates; Hominidae.